UUUUUUUUUUUUUUUUUUUGGUCUUUUUGCCAUUUCUUGGGCUGCUCUCGCGGCAUAUGGAGGUUCCCAGGCUAGGGGUCGAAUCGGAGCUGUAGUCGCCAACCUACGCCAGAACCACAGCAAUGCAGGAUGUGAGCCGUGUCUGCAACCUACACCACAGCUCAUGGCAACGCUGGAUCCCCAAUCCACUGAGCAAGGCCAGGGAUCGGCCCUGCAACCUCAUGGUUCCUAGUCAGAUACGUUAACCACUGAGCCACGAUGGGAACUCCUAUUAUUAGUCUUUUUAGGUCCUCACCUGCGACAUAUGGAAGUUCCAGGCUAGGGGUCAAAUCAGAGAUGCAGCUGCUAGCCUACACCACAGCCACAGCAAUGCAGAAUCCUUAACCGACUGAUCAAGGCCAGAGAUUGAACCUGCAUCCUCAUGGAUACUAGUUGGGUUCAAUACCACAGAUCCACAACGGGAAAUCCAAGGUGGACAUUAUUGGAUCAAGGCAAUCAGACAGUUUGACAGUCCCAUCCCUGGAUAUGUCAUAUGAGAUAAUAACUUUUAUUGUUUGGGACGGUUGCUUGUUUGUUUUUUGGCCAUGCCUGUGGCAUGCGGGAAGUUUCUGGGCCAGGGAUCAAACCCAUACCACAGCAGCAACAAUUCUGGAUCCUUGAUCCACUGAGCCACCAAGGAACUCAGUGAUGGAAUUACAGAUGACCCUUAUCGUUCUUUGGGUUUUUCUGCAUUUUUUUUAAUGUUAUGCAAAAAAGCAAAUGUUACUUUUAUGAGGAGAAAAUGAUUUCAAACUAAAAAAAAGUUUAUCCCAGGUUUCAGCACCAAAAACAAAAACAAAAACAAACAAAAAAGCAAAAAAAACCCCAAAACAAACAAAGUUUAAUCGACAUUUUAGCCAAAAGUAUGAAAUUGGUUGUAAGAAAAUGGAAUAAGGAAACGAGUUCUCUUGUGGUGCAGUAGGUUAAGGACCCAACAUCAUCACUGCAGUGGCUUGGGUUGCUGCUGUGGCACGGGUUCAAUCCCAGACCCUGGAACUUUCACAUGCCAUAGGCACAGCAAAGAGAAAAAAAGAAAGAAAGAGAAAGAAAGAAAGAAAGAAAGAAAGAAAGAGAAAGAAAGAAAAAAAGAAAAAAGAAAAAGAAAAAAGUGGGAAAAAGGAGAAAAUUUCAAGGAGAAGUGGCAAAAGGAAACAUAAAAUCAAUUUGUGCAUGACGGAAUCUUACAGGUGCCUUCAGGAGUCCUGACCUGCCCUUACCAAGGGAGUCUUGUAGCCUAGCCUCUGAACCAAGGCCGAACAGGUAAAGAGGAUCAUAGACACAGUUCCCACUGAAAGGAACGUCUGAUCAAGGCGGCAGCCUGAGUCACGUGUGAGCGAAAGGCAUGUCAGGCAGGAAAUGAGAGGUGAGCUGGAAACCGAACCCACCUGGGGGUGGGGAGGCAUGGGUUCUGUUCCCAGUUCUGGCACCCAGCGACCCUGGGCAAGUCAUCAACCUCACGCUCUUAUCUGUCAGAUGUAUAAUGACAGUAAUGGGGAUGCUGCGAUGAUCAGAUGAGAUAACCUAUCUGUGACCGCUCUGUGAACUCUGAGGCGUGCUAUAGGUCACCUUUCAACCUGCAACUGUGUCUCUGAUGCAAAGGAAUCUCUCCCUGUGCUGGAAAUCCAGACUCAAAGCAAGCAAGUGGAGUCCACCAUUUGGGGGCAGGGCCACCUUUGGAUGGUCCUUCAAGACCCCACCAUGCAGGCUGCAGCCUGCACAGCUCUGACAUUACGGAAUAUGAAGUCAGGAAGGGCACUCAUGCCUCAGCUCAAAGACCCACACAGCCGGUUCUCCUGUAGAGCAGUCCACCUCACGGAGAUAAAAAAGAGCAGCAGCCACUUCCUGGCCUUCUCUGAAUGUCCGAUCCUUUCCAUACUUUAACUGCCUGCUCUGGAUAAUUACUUUUCUCCUGCUUAUAAGCUUAGAGCAAUAGUAGUUCCCAAUAACUCGAGACUUAAUAAGGCUAAAUUAUAAUGAGUGUCCUGUGGAAUUACACACCACAUUAACACCAAAUGAG
This 2056-nucleotide long non-coding RNA is filed under the name Sus scrofa (pig). Its description in RNAcentral is "lncRNA (ENSSSCG00005043146.1)". The record is from RNAcentral. Lineage: Eukaryota; Metazoa; Chordata; Mammalia; Artiodactyla; Suidae.